UGGGGAAUAUUGCGCAAUGGGGGCAACCCUGACGCAGCAACGCCGCGUGCGGGACGACGGCCUUCGGGUUGUAAACCGCUUUCAGCAGGGAAGAUAGUGACGGUACCUGCACAAGAAGCCCCGGCUAACUACGUGCCAGCAGCCGCGGUAAUACGUAGGGCGCGAGCGUUGUCCGGAAUUAUUGGGCGUAAAGGGCUUGUAGGCGGUUGGCCGCGUCUGCCGUGAAAUCCUCUGGCUUAACUGGGGGCGUGCGGUGGGUACGGGUUGACUUGAGUGCGGUAGGGGAGACUGGAAUUCCUGGUGUAGCGGUGGAAUGCGCAGAUAUCAGGAGGAACACCGGUGGCGAAGGCGGGUCUCUGGGCCGUUACUGACGCUGAGGAGCGAAAGCGUGGGGAGCGAACAGG
This 404-nucleotide ribosomal RNA is filed under the name Verrucomicrobiota bacterium. RNAcentral describes it as "Verrucomicrobia bacterium partial 16S ribosomal RNA". It matches the Rfam family "Bacterial small subunit ribosomal RNA", at positions 355 to 776 of the family's 1533-position model. The record is from RNAcentral. Lineage: Bacteria; Pseudomonadati; Verrucomicrobiota.